UUAGAGGAAAUUGCAACUUUUGGCCCAAAGGUUUGAAUAAUUAAAUUCAAACCUAUAGUUUUUUUUUAAUAUAAUUUUGGGACUCACAAUCUCAUUUUUAUAUUAUUUUUCUCUCUUCCUCUCACGUUGCUCGGCGUUUUCUCGCAAGGGGGGAUUAUUUUCUUUUUCUUCAGAUUAUAUUGACAAAGAUAGUGGUGAAAAAGGAGUUGUGAAGGGGAACUUGUUAUUCAAGACACAAGGAGCGAGUCCGGCCGAGAAAGCACCAGAGGUGUAACUGUGGUGUAUGAGACACCAUCUUUUACGUUGCCUCUUAUUUUAGAUUAUACAAUGUAUCUUGUGCCAACUUAGGACAUAUCUUCUUUGUGAAGCAUGUAAACUCUAAUCCUUUUUAUUAAAAGUAUUUAUAUGACCAAGAGGAUUAUGUCUGUCGCUCUUGAUUUAUGAUCUGAUUUGAAUAACAUGCUAUGAGGAUCAUGUCUGUCCCUCAUGGUUCUAAUUGUUUUUUUUUUAGA
Molecule: long non-coding RNA, 512 nt
Organism: Prosopis cineraria
Lineage: Eukaryota; Viridiplantae; Streptophyta; Magnoliopsida; Fabales; Fabaceae
Exons: 3
Source: RefSeq, a predicted model, not a curated record